AGCCUCCUCCAAGGCGGCGGACCAGGCCGGGCCGGAGUUUUCGGGGUUCAGCCCGCGAGCGGGAGGACCGGGGAGGCGAGGGAGGAGGAAGGCGAGAAGGGCCAGAUCGCGGGAGAGCCCAAUCACGGGGCGAGCUGGACCUGGCUGUGAUCAUUUAUAAUCCUUGACUCCUCCGCUCCGCCACUUGUCAAGAUGACAGGUACUUUAUUUCUUCUUCUUCUUUAUUCAAAAAAAGAGAUUCCCCGUUUACUGCCUUUUUCUGUCAAAUGGGAUUUGCCGGACUGAACCACGUUCGCCGCCCCUCCCUCCUUCCCUCCUCCCGGCCGCGUCGGGUUCGGGAAAGCACCGAGGCUCCCAUGCUGUGACCAAUCAGUGCCUUUACUACUCUCGCCGUGAUUUAGGGGUCAUCCGUGAAUAACACUUCACGCUGAUGAAUGGCUCUUGCCGGCUUUCGGCUCUGAUGAGGGGUCUGCCCGCCGCCGAUUGAAAACACUAAUGAACUUACUGCGCCAUUUGAAAUUCACACGCACCAACAAAAUGGGGGGUGGGCAUUUCAGGUCAGCUGAGUCACCCGAGGAGGUGGCAGUGCAAGACACUGCCGGGAAGACGGAUUCCGAGGCAGAAGGGUGUAAUUAAGGAUUUCCACCCCCGGUAGGCGGCCCGUCCUUUGCAGAGCCUCUGAAAAUGACCCGCGCCUUCCUUUCCACAGUGUUCUUUCGUCCGAGACCGAAAAGCGCAAAUGACCUUUGGACAGGGAAGGGAGGCAGUAAACACUCAGACUUCCUUACCAGCCCCUGGUGGGCACUGCAGCAGAACAAUUGUCUGCCCCCCAGGUUCAAGCACCUAGGCCUCCGCCCCGCAUCACCUGGCCAGGGGCGGACCCGGGAGUCCUCCGAAGGCUCCACUCCCCACUUUUACUACUCUUCUUUCCUCUCCAUUCUCCCCUCAGAUUAGCGGCCGGACACUGUCCCUGCCUCGAUUUUGUUUGCUGUGGGAGGGAAAAAAAAAGUUUGCUGCUCCUCCCAAGACACUGGCCACUUUCUACUCACUGAAGUUCCCACCGCAGCGCUGGCUCCCGGCUCCCUAGCUCCCGCCCCCUGUCUGCAGGAAAGCCCUCCCCCGGAGCUUCCGAAACUGCUGGAGGUUCCAGAGUUUUGUAGCUCCGAAUGGGCGACCUGAGCCGAACCGCUCUCUGGCUGGGUGGUCGGCGGGAUCCUUCAGGCUCCUUUCGGGUCCGGGACGGGGCGGCGGCAGAGGUGGGGCGUGCGUGCUUGGGGCUGCCGAGUGAGUGCGGCUCCCUGGUGCGCGCCCGAGCAUCUCCCCGCCCUCUCCUGGGACCAGCAGUCUGCCCGUGGAGGGCUAGGAGCCCGCGACCAGGCCUGCCCCGGCCGUCGCCAACCUGUCCUUGGAAGCGUGGCGGAGACUGGUGCGCUCUCAGCCUCGUCGCGCCAGCCGCCUCGCGCCACCCUCCACUUUCAGCUUCAGAGCAGAGGAUUCCGCCGACCUCCACCUGUACCUGUACUCGGCCGUUAGGAAAUCCACUUGCAUUUUUAACUACCGUGCAGAACCAGAAACAGAUCGAGCACUGGGAGAACAAGGACGACGCCUCCUAGGAAAGCCUGAACCUUUAUGUUAGUUUAUCCAAAGUUUGGGCUAGAAGUGAGGAGAAUCCCUAAACUCGAGGUGGUGUGCCCAGACCCACAGCCCGUGUUCCCGAAGUUGCUAAGUGCCCGAGCGCAGCGCGUUAAGUAGAGAAGUCUUGGUAGUAAGCGAACCCGACCCGGCUCUCGGGGCGCUAGUGACGGAAAGCAGCACGCAUAUCUUUGCGGGAAGAAUCUAGAGUCGCCCUGGGAUAGAUCCAUCUCCUUCUGCCACUGAAUUUCACACUUGAAAAAGAUAAGGUCAUGGGGGCGGAUGAAUGAUAUCCCUCACUCAUUUAGCCAUUCUUAUUAUUAUAUAAAAAAAAGGCUUGUCAAUUAUGAAGGUGUGUCCCAGAUAUUACAUGAAGAUCAUGCAAACUACUUGAAAUUUGAAUCCGGACAUGAUCGUAAGGAAACUCUUUCAUAAAGCACUUUUGUGGCCUAGUUCCCACACACACACAAAAGUAUUAGGUCUUUAAAACUUUUCCAAGUAGUAAGUGAGACUCCCUCUUACUGUCUACGAAUACACAAUAAAGAGAUGAGACACUGCCCCAAUCCUAAAGAGGCCAGAACUGAAGUGCUACAUUGUGUGAGUUAGGGGAUGCUUCUUUUUUCCAGCUCUUUUUUCUAGAAUCCUCAUUACAGCUAACGCUGGUAAUAAAGGUAGGAAAACAAUAGAACUCAUAAAACUUAGAAAUGGUAAUAAAUCUUGGCUCCUGUCUCUAGCCCAGUUCCUUCUUACAUGAGAUUCAAAGUUUUUCAGUAUGCAAUGCUGAACGUUCACACUAUGGUUGCAAAAUAGAAAAAAAUACUCUAGAACUCAUUAAUACGGCCCUGCGCACUCUAUGCCAGGCGUCGCUGGUGGACAAAGCGCGCAGGGGUCCUCCUCUACGUCUGCCUGCGCCUGUAAUCCAGGCAGCUUACGUGUGUUAAAUUUGGGUCUCUCUCUGUCUCUCACACAAAGAAGUUCCAUCAUUUGAGGCCGUUAGGAAAAGCUGAUGUUGUGCAGUGCCAAACUACCACACGCUUCCUCCUUCGGAUGAAUCCCUGGAAAGCAGAGAGGCAGCUCGCUACGUGACCAUCAUGCUUUUUACCUCACUGAGCUGUUGUCAAGAGAGGGCGGGGAUGGCGGGCAGCUCACGUCGUGCCCUCCGCAGCAAUAAAAACUGGAGCGGGAGAAGAAAUGCAAGACAUCGCUGUCUGUUUUGCAAGCCUCUGGCCGCUCUCAGCAAACUCUGCCCGGCGCGGCUGGUGACUUUGCGGUGUGAACGCAGCCGGUCGUGCUCGGGAUAAUGGGACCGAGCUGGCGGCAUCGCCCUCCCGUGGGCCCCUCUUGCCACACAGAUGCGCAGCUCUCCAAAAGGAAAAUGUGGCCCAGCAACCCUCGCCUAGCCCUAGUCCUAGGAAUGCAUGCCUGGGGCCUUUGGAAGCCUCUCAAAGGGCUGGGGGGCGGGGGGGAGGGAUAUAAUGGGCCGAACCUCUGGAUUCAUUUUGGGGAAGAGGAGACAGGUUCUUGCCCCACUACUGAGGCAAGGCCAACAGCACCCUGCCCUGCUGCUCCACCGCCUCCCCGCGGGUCAAGUCUCAGCCGAGUGUCGCUGCCCACCUGAAGGUGACACCUGUCCAUUUUAGUCAGCAUCACAUGCGCCUUCCCUUUCUCCCCUUUGGGGUCUGUCCGUUUUCUCCUCCUGUCCUAAAGAGCCAGCUUGGAACUGAAGGGGCCGGGUAGCAGCUGUUUGUGCCUCUUGCCCGUGCAGACUCGAGGGUCUCCGCAGCCACUUCCUCCUUUAACACGCGAGGCUUUCAGGCGUGCAGAAGGGGACCGCCGGGUCAGGCAGGUAUUAGGCUCUCCAAGGACACUUGUGGACAUCACUGGAGUUUACCUAUUGUUUGGACUUUAUUACAUCUGCUUUAGCAAACGGAGGCAUGAGCGGCCUGUCUGCUGGGUUCAAACCCAGUUGCUGCCCCGGCUGCAACCUCUCCCACUCAAGAGACCCUAGGAACGAUGAGGAACGGGGUAGAAAUGACCAGGGGAGCCAAAUCUCAGGUACCGAGACCUUCCAGCUCACCCCUCAGGCUCAGGAAAGCCAAUAACCCACAUAUGCCCAAAAGGAGCUUAUGUCUCAACUGAGAACAGCAAAUAGGUGAUGGGCCACUUUAGAACAGAGGCUAAAGGCUGGUAGCCACUGAGCAAAACCCAAAUUCUAGGCACCUGAGGUGUUUCCCUUACACAAGUGCCUUCACAGGUAGCAAGCAAUUAAUCUGCAACAGUGAACAACACUAAAACUUAAAUUUUACAUGGAAGUCUCUCAAGUAGACAAAGUUAUUAUUGGGUGGGGUUUUCCCCCCACUGGCAAAAAAAUAACUUAUCCCUUGGCUGUUAGAUUGAGGGAACUAUAAAACAAAUAUUUUAAUUCGAUCACUGACAAAGUCAUAAAAUUCAAUGACUGUUUGUAGAGGAAAACAUGCUUUCAUUAUCUUAAUUAAAGCAAGAUAAGCCUCUCUCAAUGUGCAUGCAUUUUGGAGCCACUGAAUGGACUGGUGAUGAGACGAAGCAACCUUUAAUUGGGACCAUGCUUCUCCAGUACAUUCGUUUGUAUUCCAUGGUGUAAACCGGGCCUUACGCGUGGCUCCGACCUUCGGUGGAAAUGCAUUUGCGUAGCACCACCCAGGGGCUCCCUUGCUUUGGCUAGAGCCUCAUAAAAGACCCCAGGUUUUGCGAAGGAUUUUGAACACCAGCGUCUUUUAACAUGUGGAACUUUCGGUUUUGGUUUAGCUCUGUGAACGUAUUUAAAACUUGCUACAUUAUUCCACAGUGAAAGUUGGAACCUUUUUAAGAGUUAUCAUAGAGUGCCUUUUAACAUCUGUCAUAUUUUCUAUAAACAACUUUUCAGUGAGAAGCGUAUAUAGUGUACUCGAGGUAGGCAUUAGCUGCUGGCAAGGUUUAUGAUACAAUAGUGACACUACAGGACAAUUUUUUAGUCAAACAACACCCGUUAGAUAUUUCAGGGUCCAGCUUAUAUGUUAACUUGUAAAUAUAGGUUAAAAAUAUAGGUAUCAAGUGACUAAAUUCAGUAUCAGACAAAUUGAACAUCUUUUUAUUUCCCAGAAGUGCCCUACUCUUUCUCCUCCCUUUGGUGACCUCUUAGUCUGGAAUGCUCUGCAUCCGGGGCCCCUGGAACACAUAGUUUUUAAAGUACCUAUUAGUGAUACUCUCCUCCCGUUGGCAGUGCUUCCACUGUGUUUUCUGCAUGUAAUAAAGGAUGGCACUGUUUUUUGCAUAGGUCUUUCCUAAUAGCUGAGCACUCUUGGAGUGUAGGGGCUCAACCUUAUGCCUCUUUGGACACACAAGCCUAGCCCAUGGGCUGGCAUAUAGGAGCUGCUCAAUAAAUGUUUGUUGAACGAAUGAGUGGAUACACGAAUAAAAUAUUUUCAUUGUCUUUAGCCCCUCUGACUUUCUUUUUUAAACAGGGGUAUGUCAUAAAUAAAAUUUACCUUGAAAAUGCAUUUAAGUACACUGUUCUACUUCUCUGACCAUGAAGUUUUUAAUGGGACAUCGUUUUAAAAUUCUGGUCAUUACAACGAACCACUUUUGACCUUGGUUGACUUUUCUCAGAAUCAUAAUGCGAAGUAAAGACAAAAACAAUGAGAAAAGGCAAAGAGAUCAAAUUUUGGUUUUCUCU
RNAcentral lists this long non-coding RNA (5323 nucleotides) under Homo sapiens (human). Its description in RNAcentral is "non-protein coding lnc-DCTD-65:15". The record is from RNAcentral. Lineage: Eukaryota; Metazoa; Chordata; Mammalia; Primates; Hominidae.